GGCUGGUUCGAAGGUAUCAAGUGAUCUCACUUAAUUGUUCACAGUCAGUUACAGAUUGAACUCUUUGUUCUACUACUUUCCCACCUGCUCACUACUGCAGUUGACUAGUCUAAA
Molecule: Y RNA, 114 nt
Filed under: Microcebus murinus (gray mouse lemur)
Lineage: Eukaryota; Metazoa; Chordata; Mammalia; Primates; Cheirogaleidae
Description: Y RNA (ENSMICG00000042425.1)
Rfam family: Y RNA
About the family: Y RNAs are components of the Ro ribonucleoprotein particle (Ro RNP), in association with Ro60 and La proteins. The Y RNAs and Ro60 and La proteins are well conserved, but the function of the Ro RNP is not known. In humans the RNA component can be one of four small RNAs -- hY1, hY3, hY4 and hY5.
Source: Rfam by way of RNAcentral